AGAGUUUGAUUCUGGCUCAGAACGAACGCUGGCGGCGUGGAUAAGACAUGCAAGUCGAACGGGACAGUCUGGUAGCAAUAUUAGGCUGUUCAGUGGCGAACGGGUGCGUAACACGUGGGUAACAUGCCGGGAAGAGGAGAAUAGCCCAGGGAAACUUGGAUUAAUGCUCCAUGUGGUCGCAAGACUAAAGACGGGGCAACCUGUCGCUUCCUGAUUGGCCCGCGGCCUAUCAGCUAGUUGGUGAGGUAACGGCUCACCAAGGCGACGACGGGUAGCUGGUCUGAGAGGAUGACCAGCCACACUGGAACUGAGACACGGUCCAGGCACCUACGGGUGGCAGCAGUCGAGAAUCUUUCACAAUGGGGGCAACCCUGAUGGAGCGACGCCGCGUGGAGGAUAAGGUCUUCGGAUUGUAAACUCCUGUCAUGCGAGAGUAAGGCCAACGUGUUAACUGCACGGUGGAUUGACAGUACCGCAAGAGGAAGAGACGGCUAACUCUGUGCCAGCAGCCGCGGUAAUACAGAGGUCUCAAGCGUUGUUCGGAAUUACUGGGCGUAAAGGGUGCGUAGGCUGCGCAGAAAGUCAGGUGUGAAAUCCGGGAGCUCAACUUCCGAAUUGCAUCCGAUACUCCUGUGCUAGAGGAUUGGAGAGGAGCUUGGAAUUCUCGGUGUAGCAGUGAAAUGCGUAGAGAUCGAGAGGAACACUAGUGGCGAAGGCUGGGCUCUGGACAAUAUCUGACGCUGAGGCACGAAGGUCAGGGGAGCAAACGGGAUUAGAUACCCCGGUAGUCCUGACAGUAAACGGUGCACGCUUGGUGUGGGGAGUGACCCUCUCUGUGCCGAAGCUAACGCGAUAAGCGUGCCGCCUGGGAAGUACGAUCGCAAGAUUAAAACUCAAAGAAAUUGACGGGGACCCGCACAAGCGGUGGAGUAUGUGGCUUAAUUCGAUGCAACGCGAAGAACCUUACCUGGCCUUGACAUGCAUUGUGUCUCCGGUGAAAGCCGGAUAGCGUAGCAAUACGCGCUUUGCACAGGUGCUGCAUGGCUGUCGUCAGCUCGUGUCGUGAGAUGUUGGGUUAAGUCCCGCAACGAGCGCAACCCCUGUAGUCCGUUGCCACCGGUUCAUUCCGAGCACUUGGACUAGACUGCCCAGAUCAACUGGGAGGAAGGUGGGGAUGACGUCAAGUCCGUAUGGCCCUUACGGCCAGGGCUGCACACGUACUACAAUGCCCAGCACAAAGUGAACCGAGACCGCGAGGUGGAGGAAAUCGAGAAAGCUGGGCUCAGUUCAGAUUGCAGGCUGCAACUCGCCUGCAUGAAGUUGGAAUCGCUAGUAAUGGUACAUCAGCUACGGUACCGUGAAUACGUUCCCGGGUCUUGUACACACCGCCCGUCACAUCAUGGAAGCUGGCUUCGCCCAAAGAGCGUGCGCCAACCGCAAGGAGGCAUCGUUUUAAGGCAAGGCUGGUAACUGGGAUGAAGUCGUAACAAGGUAGCCGUAGGGGAACCUGCGGCUG
RNAcentral lists this ribosomal RNA (1516 nucleotides) under metagenome. RNAcentral's name for it is "bacterial SSU rRNA". It matches the Rfam family "Bacterial small subunit ribosomal RNA". The record is from RNAcentral.